GAUCAUGGCUCAGGACGAACGCUGGCGGCGCGCCUAACACAUGCAAGUCGAACGAGCGAGAGAGAGCUUGCUUUCUCAAGCGAGUGGCGAACGGGUGAGUAACGCGUGAGGAACCUGCCUCAAAGAGGGGGACAACAGUUGGAAACGACUGCUAAUACCGCAUAAGCCCACGACCCGGCAUCGGGUAGAGGGAAAAGGAGCAAUCCGCUUUGAGAUGGCCUCGCGUCCGAUUAGCUAGUUGGUG
Molecule: ribosomal RNA, 244 nt
Filed under: uncultured bacterium
Lineage: Bacteria
Description: partial 16S ribosomal RNA
Rfam family: Bacterial small subunit ribosomal RNA
Source: RNAcentral